CCUACGGGAGGCAGCAGUGGGGAAUUUUGGACAAUGGGCGCAAGCCUGAUCCAGCCAUGCCGCGUGAGUGAAGAAGGCCUUCGGGUUGUAAAGCUCUUUCGCCAGGGAAGAAAUCGUCGGCGUUAAAUCCUGCGUGGAUGACGGGUACCUCAGAAUAAGCACGGCUAACUCCGUGCCAGCAGCCGCG
Molecule: ribosomal RNA, 187 nt
Filed under: uncultured bacterium
Lineage: Bacteria
Description: partial 16S ribosomal RNA
Rfam family: Bacterial small subunit ribosomal RNA
Source: RNAcentral